This 162-nucleotide unclassified non-coding RNA is filed under the name Fusarium acaciae-mearnsii. Its description in RNAcentral is "partial internal transcribed spacer 2". Lineage: Eukaryota; Fungi; Ascomycota; Sordariomycetes; Hypocreales; Nectriaceae. The record is from RNAcentral. RNAcentral also lists the same sequence under 1 other name.
CAACCCUCAAGCCCCCGGGUUUGGUGUUGGGGAUCGGCGAGUCUUAGGACCAGCCGCCCCCUAAAUCUAGUGGCGGUCUCACUGCAGCCUCCAUUGCGUAGUAGCUAACACCUCGCAACUGGAACGCGGUGCGGCCAUGCCGUUAAACCCCCAACUUCUGAA